This 698-nucleotide long non-coding RNA is filed under the name Nicotiana benthamiana. RNAcentral describes it as "long non-coding RNA (NBEN_LNC029647)". Lineage: Eukaryota; Viridiplantae; Streptophyta; Magnoliopsida; Solanales; Solanaceae. The record is from RNAcentral.
GAAAACUUUAUGCUUAGAUGUUCCAACUAGAUGGAAUUCUACCUACUUAUCGCACGACUUAUUAUUUUAAUUUUUUUCAGAUUUAGCUAGCAAUGGGAAAGACCCUUCUGUAAUUGACGUGUAGUGUUAAUAUAUUUGGUAAGAUUAUUCAUCAGCAAUUCUUUUUCUGAAACUCUUCACUUCUGUGCUUUACAUGUUAAUGGUUUGUGUUCUAUUCUAACUGAAUACAAUUCCCACAACCUUCUCAUGGCAUUGCUGUCUUUGUACAGCUUACUGGCCUUUGUGAAAACAUUAAAGUAUCUACAUAGUUGAUGUUAUAUUUUUUCCCUAUUCUGGUUUCAUGAUCCCAUGCCUUUAUUUUAAAAUAGUACUCAGUCCUUUCCUUACUGUCCACCUGAACUGAAACCAUGUCUUUAAAUCUCUUUAAAUCUUAUAAGAAGCUCCUUAUGAAUGUGAUCCUGUUGAGCACCUUAGGAAUUCCAUGUUCAAAUCUGUGAACCUAUAGUCGUAUUGAGGAGCGUUGAUCAUGUUUCUGAUAUUUCUUAUAACUUUUGUAAAAGUUGUAAGUUGUAACUGUUUGUCUGAACCUUUACUGAUGCCCUUUUACUUCGGUAUGUGUGUGUUCUUUCAGAUUGGACUUGACUAAAAAGUUUAUCAAGUCGGCAGAAGAUAUGUGCAAAUCGAAGGAAAAGGAAAUU